AGGGGUUUAGCAGAAUGGUAGAGCAUCCCUGGCUUUAAUCCCCAGUACCAAAAAACAGAAAAACACAAAUUUUACUCCUGAUUUUUCUUCUAGCUCUCUCUUCUCUAGAGUUCAAUUAUUUAAGGUCCUUUCCCAUGGGUUAAAGCUCAACAUUUGAUCUCUCUUCUUGAUGAUGGUUACAUUUUCCUAUGACUUUCUGUUUAUAAGGUUUCCCUACCUACUUUUGUGUGAGGAAAAUUAGCAUACGUUGAGUGUCUACACUUAACAGGAGUGAGGUUAUGGUUGGGGGGCAUGUUUUUUGUGCCUAUACAUAUGCCCAGGGUUCCAUCUUUGCUGGCAUUCAUGUGUAGCCCCAUAGACCUCUUGGCUGGGGUUUGCCACUUUUUCAGAAGGUGGACUUGCUUGUUUUGUUGGUGCCGUUUAUAUACAGAGAGAUCUCUGUUUCAGGUGUGAAUAUCUUCCAUGCAUGUUUGUGGUACUCAGGGAUUAAACCCGGUAGUGUUCUGCCUGUGAGCUAUAUCUCCAGCCUUUUUAAAAAUUUUAUUUUGAAACAGGGUCUUGCUAAGUUGCCCAGAUUGGCCUCAAACUUAUGAUCCUCCUGCCUCCAGAGUAGCUGGGACUAUAGGCAUGUGCCACAAUGCCUGGCUCAGAUGUGAAACUGUAUAGUGAUAAAUGAUUGGAUGGGUGAAUGUCUUAAAAUAGAUGAGGGUGGUGGAGAUUUGGGGAAUCAAUUAUCUGUUCUAUAAGCCAUGAAAGUGGAUAAGGAACAAAUAGAAGGAAUAAAGCAGGUGGGUGCUGUUACUCCAGGAAAAACUGGCUUUCUUGGCUUGUAUAUGUUUCUGUAAGUACAAGAACAGGUUUCUUUUUUCAGGCCUGCUGUAGACACUGCCCCAUUUGGCCACUAGUGCUUCAGAUUUUCUUAUGUUCUUUCAGAAAACUUUGAUUUUUGUUCCUUAAGCCAUCCUCACAUAGAUUCUGGUUUAGAACAAAGACAGGCAAGAUCAUUUACACCUCUUGCCUCCUAGGAAUGACCCUGAUAGUAAGAAGGGACCUGAAUUUGGGUGCUUCCUUAGGACCUGGGUAUGUUAGAAACUCCAAGCUGUGGAAGACCAAUCUUGAUCCAUCUAUUCAGGCUUACUUUAUGGAUUGCAGGGGUGGUGCUGUAGAAUAGGUAUUGCUGGUCACCUCUAGCAUUCUGCAUAGUACUUGGCCUUCUGUCCACCAGAAUGACCAUAAUGCAUUGCUUUCUGGAGCAGAAGGGCUUCUACUAAAAACAUCUGGUCUGAGAUAGGGGCUGGGGAGGAAUGCUUCCAGUCACUGGGAACACCAAAUGAUGUACCCUCAAGAAGCAUGUUGAUUGACAUGUCAGCAGAGUUAGCCAGACUCUUUUGCCCCAUAAAUUCCAGGGUUCCAGGUAAGUACAUUGUGAAUUAUGUGAAUGUAUCCCUUUCUGGAGAUGCUUUGGUCUAAAGGGUGUUUGGUGUUCGAGGGCAAAAAAAGAGAUUUAUGGCUACCUCAGGUCUUAGUGAAAACAUUCAUAGUUCAAACUAAAGCCAUCUUUUCCCAGCUGUAAGUCCCUAAAAUGCAUGACGCCAUACCUCAAAUUCCAUGUCAGGUGUUUGCCAAGUUUUUCUUUUAAAAUGUUUCUUCUCUUUCUCAUUUUUUUGGCCAUUAUUUUCAGUUUUUAUAUACAAGUCACAUUCCCAGAAAGCACAGAGUGAAAAAGCUUCUUUUCUCAUACACAUGCUGCUAAGAAAAUAGUUUUAUACACAGAAUUUCAACAGGAGAAAAAUACAGGGAGGGAAGGGUGCAAGAGAGAUGUCGAAAGGCAGGGAAGGAAGGGUGAUAGCAAGUGCCAGACUUCAGUGGGUUAGUUGCUCUUCCCUUCCCGUGCCUACAUUUAUGACUGGCAUUUUUGGUAUCAUCUGAAUAACCUGCAAUUGGCUAAAGUUGGAGUUCUGAAUUUUAAACAUAAAUGGGACAGAAAGUGAAAUUCACAGAAUGUGUAGGGACUAAGGACUAAAGGGUUUUCUUUCCCUCGUUCCCCUCCUACGUGUUCUGCACUGCUACUGCUGCUGCUUCAGUAUUGACAUAUUCACAGAGCAGAGUGAUUGAGAGACUGGAAAACUUAAGUCCCAGAACUGACUGACUUGUGAAUAUUAAAUGGAUAAUGGUGGUGGAAACGGUGUGAGGGGAGGGAUCUUGGCGAUAUGGGUGUAGGAGAGGUAUCUGCAGGACAUGGGAAAUUUUGCAGGCUUUUCUUUGCUAAAAUAAAAUACCUCAUUUUCUACCCUGUGCCACUUUAGCUGGGCUUUGGGGUUGCCAGAAUUACCCGCUGGUGGUUACAGAGGCAAUGAGGUUGGAGUGGGGAAGCUUCUCCUCGUUAUUACUCUUCUGUUGUUUCUCCUGGUGAUAGCACCCAACAAUUGACAUCAAUUCUAGAUCUUGAGAUCUAGAUCACAGACAGAUCUUGACUCCUUUGGAAUUGCCUCCAGCAGCUGCUGCUUAGUGGAGGAGCUGGAGCAGGAGCAAGGACAGAGGACAAAGGGGAGGAAAGCACACGGAGAAUAAGUAACCAUGCAGAGGCGAAGGAGGUUCAAGAAAUGUCCAGAAAUGUGAUGGGACCGCAACAGAAAAGAAUCAGUACAUUUGUGGAAAAAAGUUAUGAGAGGAAAUGGAGGCAGCCGGAGAUGGCGCUGAGGUAUCCUGGGACAGAAUUUGGUCAGAAGAGCUAAAGCCUUGGAUUGGGUCAAAGCCGUGUUGGAUGUGAAGGGUGGCCUUCCAGCUCAGGCGCCAGAUUGGAUGGUAGACUGUCCCCAGUGAGGGGGAGGCAGCAAGGAGGCUGUGUUACACUUUGCAAAUGCAUAAGAUGUUUUAGGACAGCACUGUGGAGCUGCUGUGCUGCACAGACCUGUGUGAUCUUACAGUAAAUGCACUGGAGGGACUGCUGUUCUACAUGCCUCAGGCUUAGACAACCACAAGAAGCCAGCUUGGAACCCUUCUUCUGCAUGAGCACCACAGGAGGGAAGGGGUAGGGGCUUGUGCCCUUGAAUUCAGACUCAAUUCAGAUCUGAUCUUGGCGUAGGGGACCUCCUUAGAAGACUUUGAUCUCCCUGAGCUUGGAAGGAAUUGUAGGCAACUCUUCUAUAAUUAUUUGGAAUACUAUUAUACAUGACUGUUUCUCUGGUUCUUUGAUUCCAUGUGAACCUGUGUGAUGUAAUGAAUCCAUUUAAAUACUAUUACAACAACUACUACAGGUUGAGUAUCCCUGAUCCAAAAACCCAAAACCCAAAAUGUGAGACUAGGGGUGUAGCUCAGUGGUAGAGCCCUGGCCUAGCAAGUUCCAGGCCCUGUUUUUGAUACCCAGCACUUCAAGGAAAGAAAAAAGUUUCAGAUUUUGGAUUUUUGUUUUUCAAGCAGUACUAGCAAUCAGCCCCAGGGCUUCAUGCAUGCUACCACUGAACUAUAUCUCUAGCACUUCUAAAAAUUUAUUUUGAGACAGGGUCUCACUAAAUUGCCCAGCCUGGUUUUAAUUUUGUGAUCCUUCUGCCUCAGUCUCCCAAGUAGCUGGGACUAUAGAUAUAUAUCACGGUGCCUGGCCAAAAUCUGCAACUUUUUUGGUACCGACAUGAUGCCAGUGUUACAAAUAGAAAAUUCCACAUCUGUCUUCAUGUGAUGAGUUGUAGACAACACAGUUGCAACUGAAAAUAUGGUAUAAAAUUACUUUCAAGCCAUGUGCUUAAGGUGUAUAUUAAAUAUAAAUGAAUUCAUGUUGAGAUUUGGGUCCCCUUCCAAAGAUAUCUCAUUAUAUAAUGUACAAAUAUUACAAAAUUCAAAAACACCCAAAUCCAAAACACUUUUGGUCUCAAGCAUUUAGGAUAAGGGAUACUGAACCUCCAGUUAUCAUAACGAAAUAAUAGACAAUACCUUUAAAUGUUUACCGUGUACCAUUGUGCUAAGGCCUUCACAAGCAUUGCAUUACUAAUCCUCUAUUAUAAUCUGAUAUAAUACAUAGUUAUUCAUUUUCAGGUUACAAACAUGGAAAAGGACUAAGUGGUUACAUGAUUUUUAAGGUCUCCUAAUUAGAAAGUAGAAGUGACUCAGAAGGCUAAAGCAGGAGGAUCACAAGUUAGUGGUCAACCUUAGCAACUUAGUGAGGCCCUAAGCAACUUAGUGAGACCCCAAAAUAAAAAUUAAAAAGAAAAGGGCUGGCACUAUAGCUCAGUGGUUAAAUGUUCCUGGGUUCAAUCCCCAGUACAAAAGAAAAGGAAAGUGAAAUGAGACUGGAGCUCACAUAGGUUGAAUAUAAGGCCUCUGAUCGUGGGUUUAUUUGUAAACUUCUGAACUCUGGCUGGUGUGCAUUCUGAGUGAGAUCUUUGAGUGUGUUACCCUGUCCUGUGUGUGUCACUUUGAGCAUAUAUACUGUCAUCCUUUCUCAGCUUGAAUGUGCUGGGUGGGCCAUCUCCCAGUUUCUUUGUUUCUUGGUAUUAGAUGGGUCAGAACAGGACUAGUGCUCUGUGCAACUCCAGGGGGCGCCAUUCAUGUUGCAGUCUAUAUAGGGUUACUGGCCUUUGGUUGGGCACGUGUUUGUGGGGAGAGAAAAAAGAGAGAAAGAGGCAGGAAGACCAGGUGGGGUUAUUUGAAUGAUCAGUGCACUCCAUAUUAGCAUAUGAACUUCAUCAAACAAGCAAUGCAGUGUCAUUUAAAGACAGACUUGGGCUAGAAGUGGUGGUGUAGGCCUAAAACCCCAGCUACUCAGGAGGCUGGGCAGGAGGAUCACAAGUUAGAGGUCAGCCUCAGCAAUAUAGCAAGACCCCACAAAAUAAAAAGGGGUGGGGAUGUUGCUGAGUGGUAAAGGACCACUGUGUUCAAGUCCCAGUACUACAAAACACAACAAAACACAGCCUUGGGGCUGGAAAGGUAGCCCUGUUGUAAAACCCAUGCAUGGCACUGCAUUUGGAGGUCCCUUGAUUUAAUUCCCAGCACCAAAACAAACCCCAAAAUUCCAGUAGUUAGAGACAGACGUGGAAUCAGAUUUUACAUAUUCCUUAAUAUGUAAAUGACCUUAGUUCAUUAACCACAUCCCUAGCCCCCGCCCUUACAUUUUAAUUUUUAUUUUGGGACAGGAUCUCCCUAAGUUGCUUAGGGCCUCACUAAAUUGCUCAGGCUGGCCUCCAACUUGUGAUCCUCCUGCCUCAGCCUCCCAAGCCACUAAAGCCUCAGUUCAGUUUCCCAUAAAGUAUGGGAAAUAGAGUUGUGUUCGUUGAAACAACAUUAGUAGGACUGGCACUUUGGAUGUGAUCAAUAAAUAAAAAAUAAUUAUCCAUCCACAUGCCUUAUUUCCUGAGUUGUAUAUUUAUUGCUCUUUGUGUGUUGGGGAUGCUGAUGGCCUGGGUGUAGCUCUGUCCAAACAUCUCUUUGGACUUAGUGAAGGUGCUUGCUCUAGCUAGCCCCUGCCCCCAGGGCUGGUUUCCCUCAGGCUUUCCAGUCACACCUGUGUGGGCUCUGCGCUUUCCAUUCAGCAUCUGGGUGUCCUAUGCUGUGUGUUGCUGUAUGCCUACAUGUGCUUGGUGGCCGGCUGGCACGGGCGUGUUUGGGGUGGUGGUAAUUACUGGGAUGGCCCGGCCCUAAUGAGUAUGAUCUCGUUACACUCUUGCCGCCUCUAAUGGAGCUAACCUCAUUUCACAGCCAUUAGAGAUGGAGAUGAGGCCCCGCCCACGGGCCCCACCAGCUGCAGUUUUCACAGCCGGGCCGUGUUCUUCCCUCUGGCUCGCCCUUGCUCCAUUCCAGCUCUCCUUCUCCCUCCAGGUUUCCCUGUUCCCCAUUGUUCUUUCCCCUAUCUUGUUUUUCUGCUUCUCUUUUUACCUUCUCUUUUCAUGUCUCCCUUCUGUCUCCUCUCCACUCCAUUCUUGGGUUCCUUUUCCCUCACUCAGGACCCUCCCCUUUCUCCCCCGACGGAUUUGCCCUCCACAUUUCCAUUUCUCCAUCCUCUUUUCCACCCCCCCCUUCACUGCUGCUGUCCCUCCCCUCCCCCACAUUGCCCUGUCUGGCCAAAGGACAAAUCUCAAGGGGAAACCAGCAAAGACAAACAAGGAGCAGUGACUUCAUUAUCAUCAUUAAUUUGCCACUUCAGUUCCUCCCACAGGGGUCAAAGCCAGCACCGCUUGAACUCAGGACUAUCAAGGAGGCUGAGGCAUAAGCCUGACUGUUCAAGUCCAUCUCACACAACCACUCCCUGUCACCGCCCUUGGCCAUCUUCAUAUCCCUGUGGGGGGUCAGGCUCCCUGCUUUCUCACCAAGUUCUAUCCUAGUCCUUACUGCCUCCUGCCCUUCUUCCUUUUCAUUUAAUUGUAGCCAUCUCUUGGGCUCCCUCCCAUCUCUAAGUUACACACCCCUCUUCUCCCUACUCCUCCCUGCCCAGUCCAUUCUGAACCUUCCUCGUCCUUCCCUGCUCUUCUCUCUUCCUAACCUCCAGUGCACUUCUUUCCUUAAAGCACCAGGAUGUAUCUCUAGGUUUCUGGAAACUAUGUAGCCUGAAGAAGGUGAAGCUAUGAGGUGGAAGAAAGGCAUCUGUGGUCCAAAUAGGCCAGUGAUACUAAACACAGGAUGGAGACAACUGUGAAGGAAGCAGGAGACCCAUGACUCCAGGGAGGGGUAGGGGGGGUGGCAGAAAAACCUAGACUGAUAUGCAAGGCCCAAGAAAAUGGAAUGGAAGACAGAGGCAAAGGGCUUGGGUUUUCCCCUGCCAUAAAACAAGGACUGAAAAAAAUCAUGGAUGGAAAUGGCAUCUACUUCAUCAGUUCUUCCAGGGAAAUGGUCCAACAAUACAGUCCCACCCUCUUCCCUCCUUCAAUGAGAAGCCAAAUAACUGGCAACUGACUCUUGACCUUUAGCCCAAUCCCAGCCCCAAAGGGAGAGGUGGAGGUACUUGGCUGUGAUUGGAAGAGAUACUGGGAAAUGCCUACGCGUGAAGUAAAAAUUUCCUGCCCCACCAACUUUGCACUUUAACAUGUUACACAGGACCAGACCCUACAUGCCAUGCCCUCUUCUCUCUACAAAGGCUCCUGCACUCUCUGGGCCAAUUGUACUCCUAAAUGCACAAGUCACCAUGUACACACCAUUUCAGUGGAUAGCACUGCUGUGAAUUCCAGGGCCUGAACUUCAGCUUUGAUAUAAUCCCAUAUUGCUGCCCAAACACAGGAAGGUUCUCACUCUCUCAUUUAACUUUUGAGGGGGAAAUGUUGAGGGGUGCUAAACUGUCUUGGUAGUCAUUAGAAAAAAUUAUCUCCCUCCAGGUAUAUGCAGCCCCCACACCACUGGUAUAGUCUGGCAACUGGAGCAUGGGCAGAUCUCAGCACCCUGAAAAAUCACCUCCAAAUCUUUCGCCCCUGCCUCACUGGCCUGGGGCAGAGGAGGCAUGGGUAGGCAGUUAGUUCCCUGGGGCUUUCCCCAGAGAAGCAAGGGGCUCUGGGAAAAUGGGUGGUGGGAUGACUGAGCUGUAUGAGGAGCCUGAAAAGAAAGAUGGAAAAAUCAAUGAAAUGAGUUUCUAACGGUGAGGUAAAGGACCGCCGUGUCGACAGCCUGUCGCCUGCUGCAAAAUAUGAGCUGCCCAAGUCUGUGGCACUGCUGACAGUGCAUAUAGCCACCACUGUUCUCUCUUCAGGCACCUGCCUCUAGCCCCUUCUGCUGCCCUGGCCUUUCUUAUUAUAGCCAGACUCUCCCUUUCCUACAUUUCUUAAUCUCUUCAGGGUCUUUCUUGGCUUUACUGAAGGAACAGGACAGGUGGGCUAUAAUCCCUGAUGGGGUACACCUUUCUCUAAGGCUUUUGUGUAUUUAGACCUCUUUGAUUUUGCUCUGAGAGCUGUGGUGACCUCUAUAUCUUGCCUCCCCCUCUUCUAGAUGCUUCUAUAUUCUUUCAACAAUGGCAGUCAGAUGUCAAGGUGAUUUUUCACAGGGUUCUUCAUACAAUUCUGAGCUGCGGUAACCCCUCCCUCCUUCUGCCUUCUGGUUCAGGAGGUCAAUGCUGACUUCUUGUAAACACCUAGGUUUACAGGUAGAACAGGUGUUUAGAAAGGGUCUGGUAUUGAUUUGUGAAUUCUUUGUAACCAUUGUGCAUUUGUGUGUGUAUGACUCAUGUAAUUAUUUCAUGAUUGAGAAUGGGGUGGAGAUACUACAUUCAAUUCAAAUUUGUCUAAGGAAAAAACUGAACCUUUUCUGGAUACUGUCUUUUCUCUAUCUUCUUCUACAUCUUUGUCUUAGACUCCUAGGACUGUUUAUUUUUUCCUCCCAUUAUCUCUAUACAGAAUGCCCAAGUCAGCUCUGGCUGCUUCCAAGUGUGUUUCUAACCCAGUCUCUCUUCUCUGCCUCAUAUUUCACUAUUGCUGGUUAAUAUUCUUCCAGUUCUUCCUCCAGUUUCUGAUUUCACAACUUGCCCAUUUAUGCAGACUCAGGUCUAGGAGUUAGGGUGAGAGUUUGGAGGGCAACUCUAAGUCCGUAUGAACAUUUACUGGUUAGAUAUUAAGACUGUUCUAAGUAACAGACGCAGCCCCUGCUCUGAUGGCCAUUGUAUCUCCCACCUGAUGCUUAGUCUCUCAGAUUAAAGGAAUCUUUCUUUCCUUCCUCUACAGCCAAAUUCCACUGUGCUCUCUAGCAUUUCAGAACCCUCCCUUUUCUCUAUCCAGGCAGCAGUUUACACUCUACCACAGCUCUGAUCCCCUCUCUUGUGCAUUUCCAGCUUUAGCUUUCAUUCCUAAACCCAAAACCAAAUUCAUCGACAUUUUCAACGACUAUCCACCCUUCCUCCAUUUCCUUUCCUAUUCUGGAACUGCCAUUUCUAGUUCUCCUCCUUCUUAGCCUGUAUUUCAGUCUCACCAUCCUGACCUCAAUGCCCCCUGUCCCCGGAGGUCCCUUGUCUUGUUUCCAUAGGCACUAGGAAACCUUGGGCACUCACAGACAACAGUGGUUUGUGACAACUGUUGUUCUGCACUACAGACUGCUCCAGGGAUGCAAGGUCAAAGUACCAGUGCCAGGAAUCCUACAGAUUUGCCUUGACCCAGGGCCCCAGCCCACACGUCAUACAGCUCCCCAGCAAAGCACCAAAUUGUUCCUGUAUGGGUCUCAAGGUAACACCAGCUGCCUCUGACAUCAUGGAGGGAGGAACCCUGUAAGGUUGCCAAGGCAACACCAGCAAUUUAUGACAUCAGAGGCUUGAGGUCUUUGGUUCUCAGGAGGCUAGGAGGAUUCAAGUUCCCGUCAGUUGAAGUAAAUAGGAAUUCUACUUUCUCAUCUUUUUGCUUGUAUUCUCCUGGUUUGGGAAUGAAUGCAACGGCCUUUGGUAGGGUAGUGAGUGAUGAGGGCAGUGGUAGGAAUGCUCCUGAGGUUUUCUCUUCCUCUCUCUCCACUAGAUCUCUCUGUUCUUUCAAUCCCUCUCAUAAGCAUCUCUCUCUUUUGGGGCCCAAUGGUAUUUCUGCUAGCCUUUUUUUCCAAAUCACCCCCUCCCCCGCAGCACACUGUUUGCAUCCUUCAUGCUGUGUCCUCCUUACACCAGAGGUAUCUGUUUCCUUUGAUACCUCAUCCUCUCUUCCUUUCCCCCUACCAAGCUCUGUGCAGCUCUGAUCUGCUUCUGCACUCCUGCCUUUGCCAUCCGUUUACUUUCUUUGUACCAUAUAUUCUUUUCCCACCUUUUCUUAUUCAUCAAUUCCUCCCUCUCACCACUUUGCCAUUGUAUCCAUUUCAUAUUGCUUUUUUGUUUAUCUCCUUUUUAGGAAUAUUCUAUCGUUCUUUUUCUUUCCUCUGUAUAACUAUUAACUAUUUAUUUCAUUCUCUCAAUUUUUCAUUAAUCACCCUUCAGUUCCUCUUCCCCCCAUUCCACAUAGAUUUUCCUCACUUUGCACACCCCUCAUGUCAUACAUUUUUCUACCCCAUGUGUUUAUCGCACCUAGCCUCCCCUUUCCUUCUACAAUUCUGUUCACCUCUGAAAUCUUCCAUCAUCUGCCCAUAUCUGCCUCCUCCUUUUACCCUCCAAAGCUCCUGAGUUCUGGAAAAACAAUAAUGGGCUUAAAACCAAGAUAAACUCUACAGAUCUUUUAUCCACCUUUACCAUUCUUUGGAUUGAAUGAACCUGGUCCCUUGCAUAAGAUAGCUUCUCCCAUAAUAAUAAAAACUGCCUCAUAAAAAAUGGUGCUGAAUCCAAAUAAAAUAAUACUAGAGGCCCAGGAGGAAGAUGAAUUAGAAAGUGAAGAAAAAACCACUGGUAUCUAGAAUGAACUGAGGAUGGAAGCUAACCAGGCAGGGUGGAGCUUAGAGUCCUAGAGAACGUCCCCUUAUGAAAUCAAAGUUGACAGUUAACUGACAUAAUGGCACUGAUUGAUGAAGGGGUUAUAUGCCCCUGGAAGCCCAUUAAAUUGAUUUCUUGGCCUAUUUAUGUGCCUUCACAAACCAUAUCCCCCACCUCUCCCAGCCCCUUGCUGUGGUUUCUUCUGCUGCUGAGGUUAAAUGCUGGGUAAGGGGAUAAGGGAUAAAAGAAACUGAAUGACCAAGGAGAAAAGGUAGAAAGAAGGUAGAUUAUUGGAACAAAGAUGGGGAAUAAAUAAGGGAGAUGAUGGUAUACUAGGAUAGAAAAAAAAGGAAUGAAAUAAAAUGGGGAAAUGAAAAAAAUAUACAAUGGUAAUGUGGGGGAAGGGAGGAAAAUGAAGUCAGCAGGGAAGAGGUUUGUGGUGGAAAGCUCCUGGAAAGACAGAUGAUACACUGAAGACCAGAAGGUGAGGUCCUGAUGGGGGAGGCAGGCACAUGGCAAAGGAGACAGUCAACAAUGCUAGGAAGUUCCAAAGCUUCCCUGGUGAAGGUGGAAGAAAAGGCUGUCCUGGCUAUUCUGAAAGGGCACAAGAGUCUGGGGGAAGACUUAUCUGCUCCAUCCCCCUACUCUUCAGGCCCCUGACCAAUGACUACCACAAUUCUAGCUGACAAGCUAACUCCAAAGUAGUGUGAAAAGGCCACAGACAUUGAGAUGGACCCUGAAGGAGAGGGCAUGGAGUCCUAGACGGCAGAACAGUCAGGCAGCCAAGGCGUGACACAUAGUGACAGGGACACAUAUGGAGAAGAUCACUCAGAUGGGAAGGGUCACAGCAGAGACAGUGCCACACAGAACUGGAGACGGAUGGAGUGGGGAGACAAGGUGAAGAAUGGCAAAACCAAGAGGGAGGGACACAUGGACAGAGAUCAGCGGGACUACAGGCACAGCAGAAGCGUGGUCCAGUGCUCCAAAAUGAUAGGGCUACUCAGAGAGGGGUAGAAAAGAGCGGGUGGGGGUGGGGGGCGCAGGGCAGACACGCUUCACCUUCAAUGGGGCAAUGAGGCUUCCCCUCACACCUUUUCAAAAAGAAAGGGGGUUCAACUUCAGUCAAAAACGAAGACUGAGGGUGUCCACGUCCCCUCCCAUCUCGCACCCUAGCGCGCUAACCCAUCCAUCAGCCCUCCCGCGGCGGUUCCUCCCUCAUCCCGCAGCCGGCGGGGAGCCGCCGAGACCCAGGCCCCUCCAGGCUGACAGCUCCGAGUCCUCGCACUCACCCGGCCUCCCCUUCCCUCCGGGAACCCCGCUCCCCGUACAGCUCGGCGCGGUCCGUCUAGGCUGUUACCCUCCGUCUGUCCCGCCGGCCCCUGCCUCUCCCUUCCCGGUCUCCCUCCACCCCCUACAUCUCUCUCUUCCCACAGACGCCCUCUCUCCCACACCCCUGCUCCCCUUCUCCCCGGGUUCUCUAGCUGUCUGUCCGUCCGUGUCCCCUCCCCCAGCCCCUUCCCAUCCCUCUCCGUCCCUCCAGCGGCUGUCUCCGAGCGCCUCCUCUCCCCUCGUCUCCAGCUUCCAAAGAGCAAGGAAGGGAAGAAGAGUGAGAGGGAGAGGAGAAAAAAAAACCAACCCAGCAGCAUCGGAAAUCGAUGCACUUACACCUCAGCUGGAAGCAGGGACGGGAGUCGAACCACGGCCGCCGAGCAGCGCGAGGCGGGGAGGGGAGGGGGCGGCUCUUGGAAGGGACUUCUCCGAUGUGUUGAUUCCUUUUUUUCCCCUCCUCCUCCUCCCUCCAGCGCUCGCUCCGGGGCGUCGGGGACGGAGAUGGAAAAAAUAAAUAAAUAAAUUCACGGCGGUGAGGGAAGUGAAGGAAAAUAAUCAAUGCUA
Molecule: long non-coding RNA, 12169 nt
Organism: Sciurus carolinensis (gray squirrel)
Lineage: Eukaryota; Metazoa; Chordata; Mammalia; Rodentia; Sciuridae
Exons: 4
Source: RefSeq, a predicted model, not a curated record